GAGGGAGUAAAUAAACUGGACAGUUUAAAGCCUGAAACCACAUUAGAAAUUAAGCAAAAAGAAUUGCAUUUUGGUAGAGCUGGUAAACAAGCAGGAAACCCAUCAUUUAGUUUUGUAUCAGCAGAAAACCAUGUUAAUAUCCAAGAGGACUAACAGCAACAUCGAACGAGAAAACUUUAAGAAAUCUGAUUUUGAUAUCCCAUCAAAUGACUUUAAGGUCAACAUCACUGCUUGCCCCCUUUUAAUGUCACUGUAUUGCAGUUUGUUGUGACCCUCACCAAUGAUGCAGUUUCCUUUAAUUACUAAACUUCCAAUUGGGCAUAAAAUUACUACCAAAUGAAUCAAACAAUUCAAGGUGGCGAAUAUGAUGUCAACUCAAUACUUAUAAUUUAUACAUCAAAUACACGAAAUGAAAGUUCAAGAUUGAGUUAACUUUCUCAUCUUCAACUACUCAUCUAGCAACUAGCAUAUUAGGUUAGAAUCCCCUUAAUGUCUU
Molecule: unclassified non-coding RNA, 496 nt
Filed under: Hevea brasiliensis (rubber tree)
Lineage: Eukaryota; Viridiplantae; Streptophyta; Magnoliopsida; Malpighiales; Euphorbiaceae
Source: RNAcentral